Molecule: long non-coding RNA, 1969 nt
Filed under: Homo sapiens (human)
Lineage: Eukaryota; Metazoa; Chordata; Mammalia; Primates; Hominidae
Description: non-protein coding lnc-IL6-6:1
Source: RNAcentral
CUCUAUUAUUAUUUAAGAAUUUAAAACUUAAGUAGUCUUUUUUCUUUUUUGAGACAGAGUCUUGCUCUGUUGCCCAGGCUGGAGUGCAAUGGCGCGAUCUCGGCUCACUGCAACCUCUGCCUCCUGGGUUCAAACAGUUCUUGUGCCUCAGCCUCCCAAGUAGCUCAGACUACAGGUGCUCACUGCCACACCCAGCUAAUUUUUGUAUUUUUAGUGGAGAUGGAGUUUCGUCAUGUUGGCCAGGCUGGUCUUGAACUCCUGACCUCAACCAUGUAUGGUACACUAAGGAUACCAGGUUCAAGAAGAUCCUGGUCCCCAUUGUGGUGUGGUGGUUACAGGGUAUACUCAAUUGGCAACAUUCAACAAAGUGGACCUGGGUCCAAAUCCGUUUUUCCUGUGCUUUGGGGGAAAAUUACCCAUGGCUGUUUCAUUUGCAAAAUAGCAAUAAUGCCCAGGGUUGUUGUGGGGACUAAAUGAAUAAACUGCCAAGUCAUAGUAAACAUUCUCUCUCCCAUGUCACCUCCUCCCAGCAUCCUUUGAUGUCAAGUCCUUGGCCAGGACUGCAAUUACCCAUUAUGACUAACAGUGAAAAAUAUUGGCCCUUUAUGAUUCAUAUUAUGCCAAUAUCCAGUUCACAAAUGCAUUUUAUACUUAAUACGUAUAAUUCUGCAAUCCAUUCAUUCAUUUUCAUUGAACACCUACCAUGUGCCAGGACCUGUGCUAGGCUCUAAAAUUACAGCAAAAGACAGUGUCCGUAUUUAUGGUGCUUACAUUCUACAGGCAGGAGACAAGAAAUAUAUAUAUGUAUGUAUGUAUACACAUAUACAUAUGUUAAAUUAUAACUUUACAUGUAUAUAUCAGGUGGGUAAAACUUCUUUGAAGAAAAAGUGAGAUUAGCUCCCUCUCCCUCUCCCCACAGUCUCCCUCUCCCCACGGUCUCCCUCUCCCUCUCUCUCUCUUUCCACGGUCUCCCUCUGAUGCCGAGCCGAAGCUGGACUGUACUGCUGCCAUCUCGGCUCACUGCAACCUCCCUGCCUGAUUCUCCUGCCUCAGCCUGCCCAGUGCCUACGAUUGCAGGCGCGCGCUGCCACGCCUGACUGGUUUUCGUAUUUUUUUGGUGGAGACGGGGUUUCGCUGUGUUGGCUGGGCUGGUCUCCAGCUCCUAGCCGCGAGUGAUCCGCCAGCCUCGGCCUCCGGAGGUGCCGGGAUUGCAGACGGUGUCUGGUUCACUCAGUGCUCAAUGGUGCCCAGGCGGGAGUGCAGUGGCGUGAUCUCCACUCGCUACAACCUCCACCUCCCAGCCGCCUGCCUUGGCCUCCCAAAGUGCCGAGAUUGCAGCCUCUGCCCGGCCGCCACCCCGUCUGGGAAGUGAGGAGCGUCUCUGCCUGGCCGCCUAUUGUCUGGGACGUGAGGAGCCCCUCUGCCUGGCUGCCCAGUCUGGAAAGUGAGGAGUGUCUCUGCCCGGCCGCCCAUCGUCUGAGAUGUGGGGAGCGCCUUUGCCCCACCGCCCCGUCUGGGAUGUGAGGAGCGCCUCUGCCCGGCCGCGACCCCGUCUGGGAGGUGAGGAGCGUCUCUGCCCAGCCGCCCCGUCUGAGAAGGGAGGAGACCCUCCGCCUGGCAACUGCCCCGUCUGAGAAGUGAGGAGCCCCUCCGCCCGGCAGCCGCCCCGUCUGAGAAGUGAGGAGCCCCUCCACCCGGCAGCCACCCCGUCUGGGAAGUGAGGAGCGUCUCCGCCCGGCAGCCACCCCGUCCGGGAGGGAGGUGAGGGGGUCAGCUCCCCACCCGGCCAGCAGCCCCGUCCGGGAGGGAGGUGGGGGGGUCAGCCCCCCGCCCGGCCAGCCGCCCAGUCCGGGAGGGAGGUGGGGGGGUCAGCCCCCCGCCCGGCCAGCCGCCCCGUCUGGGAGGGAGGUGGUGGGGGUCAGCCCCCCGCCUGGCCAGCCGCCUCGUCCGGGAGGUGAGGGGCGCCUCU